UCCCCGGUAGCUCAGCAGGUAGAGCACCCGGCUGUUAACCGGGGGGUCGCAGGUUCGAAUCCUGCCCGGGGAG
This 73-nucleotide transfer RNA is filed under the name Pseudomonadota bacterium. Its description in RNAcentral is "tRNA-Asn". It matches the Rfam family "tRNA". From Rfam's summary of the family: Transfer RNA (tRNA) molecules are approximately 80 nucleotides in length. Lineage: Bacteria; Pseudomonadati; Pseudomonadota. The record is from RNAcentral. RNAcentral also lists the same sequence under 2 other names.